GACGAACGCUGGCGGCGUGCCUAAUACAUGCAAGUUGAGCGCUGAAGGUUGGUACUUGUACCAACUGGAUGAGCAGCGAACGGGUGAGUAACGCGUGGGGAAUCUGCCUUUGAGCGGGGGGCAACAUUUGGAAACGAAUGCUAAUACCGCAUAAAAACUUUAAACACAAGUUUUAAGUUUGAAAGAUGCAAUUGCAUCGCUCAAAGAUGAUCCCGCGUUGUAUUAGCUAGUUGGUGAGGUAAAGGCUCACCAAGGCGAUGAUACAUAGCCGACCUGAGAGGGUGAUCGGCCACAUUGGGACUGAGACACGGCCCAAACUCCUACGGGAGGCAGCAGUAGGGAAUCUUCGGCAAUGGACGAAAGUCUGACCGAGCAACGCCGCGUGAGUGAAGAAGGUUUUCGGAUCGUAAAACUCUGUUGGUAGAGAAGAACGUUGGUGAGAGUGGAAAGCUCAUCAAGUGACGGUAACUACCCAGAAAGGGACGGCUAACUACGUG
This 497-nucleotide ribosomal RNA is filed under the name uncultured bacterium. Its description in RNAcentral is "partial 16S ribosomal RNA". It matches the Rfam family "Bacterial small subunit ribosomal RNA", at positions 28 to 507 of the family's 1533-position model. The record is from RNAcentral.